This 253-nucleotide ribosomal RNA is filed under the name uncultured bacterium. RNAcentral's name for it is "partial 16S ribosomal RNA". It matches the Rfam family "Bacterial small subunit ribosomal RNA", at positions 524 to 776 of the family's 1533-position model. The record is from RNAcentral.
UACGGAGGGGGCUAGCGUUGUUCGGAAUUACUGGGCGUAAAGCGCACGUAGGCGGCUUUGUAAGUUAGAGGUGAAAGCCCAGGGCUUAACCCUGGAAUUGCCUUUAAGACUGCAUCGCUAGAAUCGUGGAGAGGUGAGUGGAAUUCCGAGUGUAGAGGUGAAAUUCGUAGAUAUUCGGAAGAACACCAGUGGCGAAGGCGACUCACUGGACACGUAUUGACGCUGAGGUGCGAAAGCGCGGGGAGCAAACAGG